AUUGAACGCUGGCGGCAUGCUUUACACAUGCAAGUCGAACGGCAGCACGGGGGCAACCCUGGUGGCGAGUGGCGAACGGGUGAGUAACACAUCGGAACGUGUCCAGUUGUGGGGGAUAACCCAUCGAAAGGUGGGCUAAUACCGCAUGAGCUGGCAACAGGAAAGCGGGGGACCCGCAAGGGCCUUGUGCGAUUGGAGCGGCCGAUGUCCGAUUAGCUAGUUGGUGGGGUAAAGGCCUACCAAGGCUUCGAUCGGUAGCUGGUCUGAGAGGAUGAUCAGCCACACUGGGACUGAGACACGGCCAGACUCCUACGGGAGGCAGCAGUGGGGAAUUUUGGACAAUGGGGCAACCCUGAUCCAGCCAUGCCGCGUGCGGGAAGAAGGCCUCGGUGUAACG
RNAcentral lists this ribosomal RNA (397 nucleotides) under uncultured bacterium. RNAcentral describes it as "bacterial SSU rRNA". It matches the Rfam family "Bacterial small subunit ribosomal RNA", at positions 29 to 430 of the family's 1533-position model. The record is from RNAcentral.